RNAcentral lists this ribosomal RNA (1043 nucleotides) under Kocuria sp. L7-86. RNAcentral describes it as "bacterial SSU rRNA". It matches the Rfam family "Bacterial small subunit ribosomal RNA", at positions 79 to 1131 of the family's 1533-position model. The record is from RNAcentral. Lineage: Bacteria; Bacillati; Actinomycetota; Actinomycetes; Micrococcales; Micrococcaceae.
UUGCUGGUGUGGAUGAGUGGCGAACGGCGUGAGUAAUACGUGAGUAACCUGCCCUUGACUCUGGGAUAAGCCCGGGAAACUGGGUCUAAUACUGGAUGCUACAUGUCACCGCAUGGUGGUGUGUGGAAAGGGUUUACUGGUCUUGGAUGGGCUCACGGCCUAUCAGCUUGUUGGUGAGGUAAUGGCUCACCAAGGCGACGACGGGUAGCCGGCCUGAGAGGGUGACCGGCCACACUGGGACUGAGACACGGCCCAGACUCCUACGGGAGGCAGCAGUGGGGAAUAUUGCACAAUGGGCGAAAGCCUGAUGCAGCGACGCCGCGUGAGGGAUGACGGCCUUCGGGUUGUAAACCUCUUUCAGCAGGGAAGAAGCCACAAGUGACGGUACCUGCAGAAGAAGCGCCGGCUAACUACGUGCCAGCAGCCGCGGUAAUACGUAGGGCGCAAGCGUUGUCCGGAAUUAUUGGGCGUAAAGAGCUCGUAGGCGGUUUGUCGCGUCUGCUGUGAAAGCCCGGGGCUUAACCCCGGGUGUGCAGUGGGUACGGGCAGACUAGAGUGCAGUAGGGGAGACUGGAAUUCCUGGUGUAGCGGUGGAAUGCGCAGAUAUCAGGAGGAACACCGAUGGCGAAGGCAGGUCUCUGGGCUGUUACUGACGCUGAGGAGCGAAAGCAUGGGGAGCGAACAGGAUUAGAUACCCUGGUAGUCCAUGCCGUAAACGUUGGGCACUAGGUGUGGGGGACAUUCCACGUUUUCCGCGCCGUAGCUAACGCAUUAAGUGCCCCGCCUGGGGAGUACGGCCGCAAGGCUAAAACUCAAAGGAAUUGACGGGGGCCCGCACAAGCGGCGGAGCAUGCGGAUUAAUUCGAUGCAACGCGAAGAACCUUACCAAGGCUUGACAUAUACCGGAUCGUUCCAGAGAUGGUUCUUCCCCUUUGGGGUCGGUAUACAGGUGGUGCAUGGUUGUCGUCAGCUCGUGUCGUGAGAUGUUGGGUUAAGUCCCGCAACGAGCGCAACCCUCGUUCCAUGUUGCCAGCACGUGAUGG